RNAcentral lists this long non-coding RNA (832 nucleotides) under Homo sapiens (human). RNAcentral's name for it is "HSALNT0287987". Lineage: Eukaryota; Metazoa; Chordata; Mammalia; Primates; Hominidae. The record is from RNAcentral.
AGGUUGCAAGGAGCUGAGACGGCACCACUACACUCCAGCCUGGGCAAUAGAGUGAGACUUUGUCUCAAAACAAAACAAAAGAAAAACAGCAAGCUGCUUCAAUUAGGAUGGGUAGUUGGAGAUGAUGUUGAAGACUUCCAGGAGAUUAGGGUCUUGCUCUGUCUCCCAAGCUGACGUGCACUGCUGGAAUCUCAGGUCACUGCAGCCUCGACUUCCUGGGCUGAAACAAUCCUCCCACCUCAGCCUACUGCAGAGCUGGGACUACAGGCACAUACUACCACACCAAGCUAGUUUUAUUUUUAUUUUUUGUAGCAAUGGGGCCUCAGUAUGUGGCCCAGACUGGUCUUGAACUCUUGGCCUCAAGCAAUCCUUGUGUCUCAGCUUCCUCAAGUGCUGGGAUGACAGGCAUUUGAGCCACCAUGUCCAGCCUUUACCUAACUUUUGAGUUAAACACUCUGGGAGAACACAAACAUGGAAAUGGAUGAGAAAAGAGAACAUGAUGGGAGAAAUCAGAGCUGAGCUCGGGCCUUGGAAAGUGCACGAGUGAUUUUGUUCCAGAACGUGCCACGCAAUUUUCAUCUGACCUAAACAUGUCUCAUUAUGUGAAAAUAAAAUCUGCAUUAUGAUAUGAUCUCCUUCCUAAUCACAUGAAAGAUUUUACCACAUAGAUGGUUUUCUCUGUGCUUAGUGGAAGAUUGAGAUAAUCAGUUAAAGCAAUAAAACAGAGAAGGCACAGCCUCACUUGAUCCUGCUAAGAGUGGGAAUCCAGCAAAUCGAGCUGCGAUAGGAAAGGUGCAGACACGGGCUGCGAAGGGAGCAGGAGGACUCUGAC